Molecule: ribosomal RNA, 503 nt
Filed under: uncultured bacterium
Lineage: Bacteria
Description: partial 16S ribosomal RNA
Rfam family: Bacterial small subunit ribosomal RNA
Source: RNAcentral
AUUGAACGCUGGCGGCAGGCUUAACACAUGCAAGUCGAGCGGGGUGAUGGUGCUUGCACUAUCACUUAGCGGCGGACGGGUGAGUAAUGCUUAGGAAUCUGCCUAUUAGUGGGGGACAACAUCUCGAAAGGGAUGCUAAUACCGCAUACGUCCUACGGGAGAAAGCAGGGGAUCACUUGUGACCUUGCGCUAAUAGAUGAGCCUAAGUCGGAUUAGCUAGUUGGUGGGGUAAAGGCCUACCAAGGCGACGAUCUGUAGCGGGUCUGAGAGGAUGGUCCGCAAGACUGGGACUAGGACACGGCCGAGACGCCUACGGGAGGCAGCAGUGGGGAAUAUUGGACAAUGGGGGGAACCCCGAUCCAGCCAUGCGGCGUGUGUGAAGAAGGCCUUAUGGUUGUAAAGCACUUUAAGCGAGGAGGAGGCUCUUUUGGUUAAUACCCAAGAUGAGUGGACGUUACUCGCAGAAUAAGCACCGGCUAACUCUGUGCCAGCCGCCGCGGUAA